RNAcentral lists this ribosomal RNA (885 nucleotides) under uncultured bacterium. RNAcentral describes it as "bacterial SSU rRNA". It matches the Rfam family "Bacterial small subunit ribosomal RNA", at positions 9 to 873 of the family's 1533-position model. The record is from RNAcentral.
AGAGUUUGAUCCUGGCUCAGGACGAACGCUGGCGGCGUGCCUAAUACAUGCAAGUAGAACGCUGAAGAGAGGAGCUUGCUCUUCUUGGAUGAGUUGCGAACGGGUGAGUAACGCGUAGGUAACCUGCCUUGUAGCGGGGGAUAACUAUUGGAAACGAUAGCUAAUACCGCAUAACAAUGGAUGACACAUGUCAUUUAUUUGAAAGGGGCAAUUGCUCCACUACAAGAUGGACCUGCGUUGUAUUAGCUAGUAGGUGAGGUAACGGCUCACCUAGGCGACGAUACAUAGCCGACCUGAGAGGGUGAUCGGCCACACUGGGACUGAGACACGGCCCAGACUCCUACGGGAGGCAGCAGUAGGGAAUCUUCGGCAAUGGGGGCAACCCUGACCGAGCAACGCCGCGUGAGUGAAGAAGGUUUUCGGAUCGUAAAGCUCUGUUGUAAGUCAAGAACGAGUGUGAGAGUGGAAAGUUCACACUGUGACGGUAGCUUACCAGAAAGGGACGGCUAACUACGUGCCAGCAGCCGCGGUAAUACGUAGGUCCCGAGCGUUGUCCGGAUUUAUUGGGCGUAAAGCGAGCGCAGGCGGUUUGAUAAGUCUGAAGUUAAAGGCUGUGGCUCAACCAUAGUUCGCUUUGGAAACUGUCAAACUUGAGUGCAGAAGGGGAGAGUGGAAUUCCAUGUGUAGCGGUGAAAUGCGUAGAUAUAUGGAGGAACACCGGUGGCGAAAGCGGCUCUCUGGUCUGUAACUGACGCUGAGGCUCGAAAGCGUGGGGAGCGAACAGGAUUAGAUACCCUGGUAGUCCACGCCGUAAACGAUGAGUGCUAGGUGUUGGAUCCUUUCCGGGAUUCAGUGCCGCAGCUAACGCAUUAAGCACUCCGCCUG